AGUGAACGCUGGCGGUAGGCCUAACACAUGCAAGUCGAACGGCAGCACAGUAAGAGCUUGCUCUUACGGGUGGCGAGUGGCGGACGGGUGAGGAAUACAUCGGACUCUACUUUUUCGUGGGGGAUAACGUAGGGAAACUUACGCUAAUACCGCAUACGACCUACGGGUGAAAGCAGGGGAUCUUCGGACCUUGCGCGAUUGAAUGAGCCGAUGUCGGAUUAGCUAGUUGGCGGGGUAACGGCCCACCAAGGCGACGAUCCGUAGCUGGUCUGAGAGGAUGAUCAGCCACACUGGAACUGAGGCACGGUCAAGACUCCUACGGGAGGCAGCAGUGGGGAAUAUUGGACAAUGGGCGCAAGCCUGAUCCAGCCAUACCGCGUGGGUGAAGAAGGCCUUCGGGUUGUAAAGCCCUUUUGUUGGGAAAGAAAAGCAGCAGGUUAAUACCCCGCUGUUCUGACGGUACCCAAAGAAUAAGCACCGGCUAACUUCGUG
RNAcentral lists this ribosomal RNA (492 nucleotides) under uncultured bacterium. RNAcentral describes it as "partial 16S ribosomal RNA". It matches the Rfam family "Bacterial small subunit ribosomal RNA", at positions 29 to 507 of the family's 1533-position model. The record is from RNAcentral.